RNAcentral lists this ribosomal RNA (253 nucleotides) under uncultured bacterium. Its description in RNAcentral is "partial 16S ribosomal RNA". It matches the Rfam family "Bacterial small subunit ribosomal RNA", at positions 524 to 776 of the family's 1533-position model. The record is from RNAcentral.
UACGGAGGAUGCAAGCGUUAUCCGGAUUCAUUGGGUUUAAAGGGUGCGCAGGCGGAAUAAUAAGUCAGUGGUGAAAGCCUACAGCUUAACUGUAGAACUGCCAUUGAUACUGUCAUUCUUGAGUAUUGUUGAGGUAGGCGGAAUGUGUCAUGUAGCGGUGAAAUGCUUAGAUAUGACACAGAACACCGGUCGCGAAGGCAGCUUACCAAGCAAUAACUGACGCUCAUGCACGAAAGCGUGGGGAUCAAACAGG